GGCUCAGAUUGAACGCUGGCGGCAUGCCUUACACAUGCAAGUCGAACGGUAACGGGGAGCUUGCUCCGCUGACGAGUGGCGAACGGGUGAGUAUUAUAUCGGAACGUACCAUUCAGUGGGGGAUAACGUAGCGAAAGUUACGCUAAUACCGCAUAUUCUGUGAGCAGGAAAGCAGGGGAUCGCAAGACCUUGCGCUGAUUGAGCGGCCGAUAUCAGAUUAGCUUGUUGGUGAGGUAGAAGCUCACCAAGGCGACGAUCUGUAGCGGGUCUGAGAGGAUGAUCCGCCACACUGGAACUGAGACACGGUCCAGACUCCUACGGGAGGCAGCAGUGGGGAAUUUUGGACAAUGGGGGCAACCCUGAUCCAGCCAUGCCGCGUGAGUGAAGAAGGCCUUCGGGUUGUAAAGCUCUUUCAGCCGGGAAGAAAACGCAUGGGUUAAUACCCUGUGUGGAUGACGGUACCGGAAUAAGAAGCACCGGCUAACUACGUGCCAGCAGCCGCGGUAAUACGUAGGGUGCGAGCGUUAAUCGGAAUUACUGGGCGUAAAGCGUGCGCAGGCGGUUUUGUAAGACAGGCGUGAAAUCCCCGGGCUUAACCUGGGAACUGCGUUUGUGACUGCAAGGCUAGAGUACGGCAGAGGGGGGUGGAAUUCCACGUGUAGCAGUGAAAUGCGUAGAGAUGUGGAGGAACACCAAUGGCGAAGGCAGCCCCCUGGGUCGAUACUGACGCUCAUGCACGAAAGCGUGGGUAGCAAACAGGAUUAGAUACCCUGGUAGUCCACGCCCUAAACGAUGCCAACUAGGUGUUGGGAGGGUAAAACCUUUUAGUACCGUAGCUAACGCGUGAAGUUGACCGCCUGGGGAGUACGGCCGCAAGGUUAAAACUCAAAGGAAUUGACGGGGACCCGCACAAGCGGUGGAUGAUGUGGAUUAAUUCGAUGCAACGCGAAAAACCUUACCUACCCUUGACAUGCCAAGAACUUUCCAGAGAUGGAUUGGUGCCCGAAAGGGAACUUGGACACAGGUGCUGCAUGGCUGUCGUCAGCUCGUGUCGUGAGAUGUUGGGUUAAGUCCCGCAACGAGCGCAACCCUUGUCGUUAAUUGCCAUCAUUAGUUGGGCACUUUAACGAGACUGCCGGUGACAAACCGGAGGAAGGUGGGGAUGACGUCAAGUCCUCAUGGCCCUUAUGGGUAGGGCUUCACACGUCAUACAAUGGUCGGUACAAAGGGUCGCCAAGCCGCGAGGUGGAGCCAAUCCCAGAAAGCCGAUCGUAGUCCGGAUCGCAGUCUGCAACUCGACUGCGUGAAGU
Molecule: ribosomal RNA, 1310 nt
Filed under: metagenome
Description: bacterial SSU rRNA
Rfam family: Bacterial small subunit ribosomal RNA
Source: RNAcentral